GGUUGGAUGUGGGGGUUUGCUGGCCUCUUAAAAAAGGCUUUGGCUCUCCUGAAAUACAUUAGCAGAACAACCCUGUUCAUAUGUGGUGUGAUAACUAUCUACGCUAUUGAAUGUGAAGGGCAGUUUGGCUUUCUAACAGUCCUUGGACAGCUCAUCAUUAAUGUGACCUCAAAUCAGGUAGGACUACCCGCUGAACUUAA
This 200-nucleotide unclassified non-coding RNA is filed under the name soil metagenome. RNAcentral's name for it is "partial contains internal transcribed spacer 2 and large subunit ribosomal RNA". The record is from RNAcentral.